GGGAAUGUGGCUUAGUGGUAGAGUGCUUGCCUAACAUGCAUGAAGCCCUGGGUUCAAGUCCCUAUCACCA
RNAcentral lists this transfer RNA (70 nucleotides) under Dipodomys ordii (Ord's kangaroo rat). It matches the Rfam family "tRNA". Rfam says of the family: Transfer RNA (tRNA) molecules are approximately 80 nucleotides in length. Their secondary structure includes four short double-helical elements and three loops (D, anti-codon, and T loops). The record is from Rfam by way of RNAcentral. Lineage: Eukaryota; Metazoa; Chordata; Mammalia; Rodentia; Heteromyidae.